UAAUUCUUUGUGCAAAAUACGUACCGGC
This 28-nucleotide small RNA is filed under the name Bombyx mori (domestic silkworm). RNAcentral describes it as "ovarian small RNA-19910". The record is from RNAcentral. Lineage: Eukaryota; Metazoa; Arthropoda; Insecta; Lepidoptera; Bombycidae.